GAUGAAGAACGCAGCGAAAUGCGAUAAGUAAUGCGAAUUGCAGAAUCCGUGAGUCAUCGAAUCUUUGAACGCACAUUGCGCCCUUUGGUAUUCCGAAGGGCAUGCCUGUUCGAGCGUCAUUAUCACCCCUCAAGCCCGGCUUGGUGUUGGACGUCUAGCCAGUCUCUCAGGAGCUGGCUCGCCCCAAAGAUAAUGACGGUGGUCUGUGAAGUCACCAGUACGACGAGCCCCUGGGCAUGUACUGUUCUCGAGUUCCAGCGCCGGUCUCGCUCACGACGUGAGCACUUUUUUUCUGAAAGGUUGACCUCGGAUCAGGUAGGGAUACCCGCUGAACUUAAGCAUAUCAAUAAGCGGAGGA
Molecule: unclassified non-coding RNA, 358 nt
Filed under: soil metagenome
Description: partial contains 5.8S ribosomal RNA, internal transcribed spacer 2, and large subunit ribosomal RNA
Rfam family: 5.8S ribosomal RNA (bases 1-119)
Source: RNAcentral